AGCUUUGCACAGUGGCAGUGUUAUGGCCAGUGAGGUUUAUCUGAGGCAGGAUUAUUGCUAAUUGAAAUCAAUAAACAAACAAACAAACAAACUUGUUAAAAAUAAAUCAUGUUAUAUUCACACAAUGGAAUACUAU
Small nuclear RNA from Pteronotus mesoamericanus, 136 nucleotides. RefSeq annotates it as U4 spliceosomal RNA. The record is from RefSeq and is a predicted model, not a curated record. The transcript has a single exon. NCBI's taxonomy places the organism in Eukaryota, Metazoa, Chordata, Mammalia, Chiroptera, Mormoopidae.